Molecule: long non-coding RNA, 537 nt
Filed under: Dromaius novaehollandiae (emu)
Lineage: Eukaryota; Metazoa; Chordata; Aves; Casuariiformes; Dromaiidae
Description: lncRNA (ENSDNVG00000003560.1)
Source: RNAcentral
AAAUAAUGUUGCCUUAGAGCAAUUUCUCCCUCGUCAUCCCUUUUCCCCUUACAGUUUGCUGUCACUACCGACUACGGGCCAGACUGUGCACUUCUAAGAAUCCUUCAGAUGGAGUCAGUGGGACUGCUCAUAUGAACUUCUGCCUUCCUACAUGUGAACUUCAAAGCCUUUGAUAGUCGUGAAGCAUCAGAGGAGCCUUUAUGCUAAGUAAAACCUAUGUGAAAAGAGCACUGCUUCUGAUCCCACCAGGAGCUGCUAUACAUCCCACUCUUUCUUAUCUUUUUCAUCCUCUGAGCCUGGAUAAAGCAGUCAGUCCGCAUUUGUUUGGGUGGUCAUGGCUAUACCUUUACUAUGCUGUGUGCUGUCAGAGUGGAGAAGCUGCAGUCUAGUAGGACAGGCCAUGGCGUAGCCAGAGGAAGCGCUGAAGUAGUAUAGACGCCUCAAGAGAAAGUGUCUAUGAAGAGCGAACAAAUAGCAUUGGGGACUUUGCCGGGAGAAAGCAGUAAGUCUACUAUGUGCUUCCUGCAGGGAGACUGC